RNAcentral lists this microRNA precursor (120 nucleotides) under Chlorocebus sabaeus (green monkey). Its description in RNAcentral is "miRNA (ENSCSAG00000024621.1)". Lineage: Eukaryota; Metazoa; Chordata; Mammalia; Primates; Cercopithecidae. The record is from RNAcentral.
UCUGAAGUCCUGAGGUUUUAGAAGCAAUAGCUCCAUCGCUUCUCGGCCUUUUGGCUAAGAUUAAGUGUAGAAGCAAUAGCCCUGAUUCAUGUGCUAUCUAGGGCAAGUCAGUUAUGACUG